GGCCCGAAGCGGAGAAUUUAAGCCCCAGUAAACGGCGGUGGUAACUAUAACCAUCCUAAGGUAGCGAAAUUCCUUGUCGGGUAAGUUCCGACCUGCACGAAUGGCGUAACGACUUCCCUGCUGUCUCAACCACAGGCCCGGCGAAAUUGCAGUACGAGUAAAGAUGCUCGUUACGCGCGGCAGGACGAAAAGACCCCGGGACCUUCACUAUAGCUUGGUAUUGGUGUUCGGUUCGGUUUGUGUAGGAUAGGUGGGAGACUGUGAAGCGGCUACGCCAGUGGUUGUGGAGUCGUUGUUGAAAUACCACUCUGAUCGUAUUGGAUGUCUGAACCUCGGCCCGUGAUCCGGGUCAGGGACAGUGCCUGGUGGGUAGUUUAACUGGGGCGGUUGCCUCCCAAAGUGUAACGGAGGCGCCCAAAGGUUCCCUCAGCCUGGUUGGUAAUCAGGUGUUGAGUGUAAGUGCACAAGGGAGCUUGACUGUGAGACUGACAGGUCGAGCAGGGACGAAAGUCGGGACUAGUGAUCCGGCACCGGCUUGUGGAAGCGGUGUCGCUCAACGGAUAAAAGGUACCCCGGGGAUAACAGGCUGAUCUUCCCCAAGAGUCCAUAUCGACGGGAUGGUUUGGCACCUCGAUGUCGGCUCGUCGCAUCCUGGGGCUGGAGUUGGUCCCAAGGGUUGGGCUGUUCGCCCAUUAAAGCGGCACGCGAGCUGGGUUUAGAACGUCGUGAGACAGUUCGGUCUCUAUCCGCCGUGCGCGUUGAAACUUGAGAAAGGCUGACCCUAGUACGAGAGGACCGGGUUGGACGUACCUCUGGUGGGCCAGUUGUCACGCCCGUGGCAUGGCUGGUUGGCUACGUACGGGAGGGAUAACCGCUGAAAGCAUCUAAGCGGGAAGCCUGUUUCGAGAUGAGGUUUCGUGUGAGGUUCCCUGUAGACGACGGGGUUGAUAGGCCGGAUCUGGAAGCCAUGUGAGUGGUGGAGGUGACCGGUACUAAUUGACCGAGCAUUACACAUU
This 1016-nucleotide ribosomal RNA is filed under the name Corynebacterium nuruki S6-4. Its description in RNAcentral is "bacterial LSU rRNA". It matches the Rfam family "Bacterial large subunit ribosomal RNA", at positions 1896 to 2925 of the family's 2925-position model. The record is from RNAcentral. Lineage: Bacteria; Bacillati; Actinomycetota; Actinomycetes; Mycobacteriales; Corynebacteriaceae.